CACACGUGGCUCAUGCCAUUUUGUUUCUCUGCUGUUCGUGAUGUGAGGUGUUGUCUAGAGACCUAUGUUACUGACCAAGCUCAAAGAUGUUUGUCCAUACUUCUACUUUAGCUAAAAAAGUUUGCAAGGAUGGAAGACGUACUUUCACACAACAGAAUGGGCAUUUGGAGAUCGACAAAGAGCCACUGAACAUUUGCAGUUCCUGUUGGGUGGAAUCACAAGUUCUGGUAGAUGUUGUUCCUCUGAUAAAUAAUAGAGUCUGAAGUUGCAAUUUCUGAUGGGCUUAAUAGCAAUUUCUAGCUGGUGUCGUCUCUGAUGUAUUUAAUAAAGGUGCUGACUGACACAGGGUGUUCCCAUGGUGAUAGUCUAAAGAAUGCAGAAAUAGGUCGAUUGGAGCAUCCUUCUUGAAGCACAGUCUUGCUUGCAGAGUAGUCUUGAGCAAUGCCAUCUUCUUUGAUGUGUAAUUCCAAGUGGUUGCCGUCAUCUAAUGCUGAAAAGGUGCUUAAUCAUGAAUGACUUCCAUUGAGCUCCGAUCAUUCACAUGAAUUUGAGAAUGGCGAUAAGAGUUUUACAUUAGCAACAUCAAACAACCGGGAUCAUCUUAGAGAAAUUAUGAAUGGCGAUAAGAGUUUUACAUUAGCAACAUCAAACAACCGGGAUCAUCUUGGAGAAAUUAUGAAUGCAUUAGCAACAUCAAACAACCGGGAUCAUCUUAGAGAAAUUAUUAAUGAUGGGAAGAGUGUUCUUUGAAACCACAAAAGCACUCCAGAAUCAUUGCAAGGAGUGAUGAGUAUAGUGCACAUCAGAGUCGCAAACGUUGUGGAGACAUUGCAAGAUCUUGUGAACAGAUUCACCAAGAGCUGUUUCCUGGGAGUACAAGAUUGCCGAGUCAAGUGAUCGAGUUUUUAACUGAUGAAAGCAUUAUGGUCAAGGACUGUACUUGUGGAACAAACUGGGCUGUGUUUCAGGGGCAUCAACAAAAAUGCCGAGGAUCUUUAAUAUCAGAUGUUGAAAAGUUGUUGCUGUCUCCAGAGCAGAAGGGUUGUUGCCAUCUCCAACGGAGAUUGUGUCAAAGACAUCGGCUGGCUGAAAAUGGAUCAGUGAGAUCAACUUGAUAUUUCAGGUUUCUGGUGGAAAGCAGGAUGAUUGUUUGCCAUUGCCAGAAUUUAAGG
Molecule: long non-coding RNA, 1172 nt
Organism: Asterias rubens (European starfish)
Lineage: Eukaryota; Metazoa; Echinodermata; Asteroidea; Forcipulatida; Asteriidae
Exons: 21
Source: RefSeq, a predicted model, not a curated record